Equus asinus (donkey) is the source of this 1757-nucleotide long non-coding RNA. NCBI's taxonomy places the organism in Eukaryota, Metazoa, Chordata, Mammalia, Perissodactyla, Equidae. The record is from Ensembl.
CGACGACCUUACUCGGUGAUUUAGAGUUUAGGAUUCCCCGCUCUCCCCGCCGCCGCCCGGUUUCGACUUCUGGUCGAGGAGGAGGCGCUCUGGUAAUCUGCGACCCUCGUCUUCAAUAUAUUCUCUUUAUUUCUCCAUUUUAAGAGUCGAUCUUUAGUAAAAUGGUGCCCCACACAAUCCAGCAUCCACAUUCCCCCCACACAUAAAGGAAUGUAAAAAUGUCCUUUAUUGUGAGACAUCCUAACGUGAACAUCCUCAGUUUACCCGUCUCCUCACGAAAUUCUUCCUUAACUUCAAUUGAAGUUCAUUCCUUUUUGUUGACUGUUUCCUUAGUCCUGCAAAUUCAGCGUGUUUUCUGUUUCCCGUCUGUGGAAGUCUCCCCCACAUACACACCAGACCACAGGAGAAGGCUGUUGAUCGUUUAGCUGGCUUAUUAAACUCGCUAAGCAAAGGAUAGCAAAGCCUCAGUCACGGAAGUGUAUUGAGGGGCGGUAUGAGGGAGAGUUUGGGUGACACCCUGUGAGGGCAGUGUGGCAGGAAUCGGUCAGUUUGUCAAGCAGGCAGCGUCGCUAGUAGUCCAGUCCUGGCCGCUCAGGCCUCCCUGGGGAGUUACUGCUACUAUCGUCUUAUCUUGGAAAUUAUGGAGUCUAAAUAAGCUGGCGUUCCAAGAGUUUCGACUUUGACAUUUCGUCUUGCACAAAUGCUUGCGGAUUCGUUUGCAGAUUAUGGCUUCAAGGUUGUUUUUUUACACCUUCACUGGGCCUGGAAAACAUUCCUAAAGGAUUCUGGCUGUCCACUAAGGGGAAGCGAAAUGGCCCGGCUUCUCUUUCCCGUCUGCCAACAAGCCGAGGAACGCCGCCCGAGCCUUCUGCUACCGUUCUUGCUUUUCUCUCCUUCCCACCCCCUCCACCGUCCCUCCGGCCAGGCCGGGUUUGGAAUCCCCCUCCGGGUGAGUGACCCACGCUACUCGUGGCACAAAGGAGUCAAGCGUUCAUCAGUUCAGCAAACACAUGGGACCCUGGUUGGGAGACGUGCAAAAGGACGUGACCAAGACGUGUGAAUCUGAAGCUCGGGGGGGAGCGGUCCUUGCUGGAGCCACAGGUGCGGGGGGAGAGGGUGGGCCACGCUGACCUUGGGAAGAUGGACUCCGUAGAUGGAGAAGUCGGAAUAGAAGGAAAGCCAGCAGCGAAGCUGCCACCGAGGCCAAAAGAGCCGAGAUGUGCAAAAAGAGGGGAAAAUCGGUAGUCAAAUUAUGGUCUAGCAAGGGAAAGUGGUAAAGCGUCCAUGGAUUCGGCCACCUGCAGGCCCCUGGUGACCUUGAACUAGACUGGACAAGAGGGCUUCCCUCCCUGCGCUCUGGCAGAGAGGCCUUUCGGGCCACAGACACGUCCAGGAUCCCUACGCAAUAGGACAGCCUCUGUCCCAAUUCCUGGCUCCCCAGGGCUUCGGAAAUCAGUCAGCGACGGGAAAACAUUUUGCAAUAUUAAACCAUCGAGCCUACUCUUAAAUUUACGUAUAUGUACAUCUACAUAUAACAUUCGUUAAGCCUCAUCCCAAUUCUGGACAUUAAAUGCUAGCAUUGAUAAGUUUUAUUUUUAUAAAAUGCUUAAAAGAUUUCAUUACCUUUUCAAAAUUUAAUAAUAUUUUCAGUUUUAUUUAAAUAACAUUAACUUAAAUUUUGAUAUUAAUUAAUUUCUAUUUCCCUUUUAUUUUUAAUAGAUAAUUUCCCAUAAUUUAGAACAAGUGUAUAAUUAUUU